UACGAAGGGGGCUAGCGUUGUUCGGAAUUACUGGGCGUAAAGCGCCCGUAGGCGGACUACUAAGUCAGGGGUGAAAUCCCGGGGCUCAACCCCGGAACUGCCUUUGAUACUGGUAGUCUCGAGUCCGGAAGAGGUGAGUGGAAUUCCGAGUGUAGAGGUGAAAUUCGUAGAUAUUCGGAGGAACACCAGUGGCGAAGGCGGCUCACUGGUCCGGUAUUGACGCUGAGGCGCGAAAGCCAGGGGAGCAAACGGG
This 253-nucleotide ribosomal RNA is filed under the name uncultured bacterium. Its description in RNAcentral is "partial 16S ribosomal RNA". It matches the Rfam family "Bacterial small subunit ribosomal RNA", at positions 524 to 776 of the family's 1533-position model. The record is from RNAcentral.